GUCUAGCACUUUCCCCUCUGCAGGGAACUGCCUCCUUGAAACCUGAAACAGGGUUAGCUUGGGGCAAAGCAAAAUUGGCAUUUUCUGAAGGGAGAUUUUUUUUUCUUCCUGCUUUUCUCGCCUGGAAUCUAGAGACAGACUCCUUGGCUGGGUGCUAAAUGUUUUCACUGGGGAGAGGCCCUGUGUGGCUAAAUUCAGUUCCUCCCACCCUGAGAUAGUUCCUUGCUCUGACCUUCACCUGAAUUUAACAAAGCUGUGAAAUGGAAGGCAAGACUAGAAAAGACCAGCAAAGAGAGAAAGAAAAGAGUCAUUCAUUGCCACGUUGCGAGGAGCUCAGUGUCUGAUUACCAGGCGUUUGGUUGCUGCUUGGGCCCCAGCACUGGAAGGAGCAAUCUUGGGCUGGUGAAUAUUAACCUGCAGUUGUUAAGUGGAAAAUGUCAGAUUUGGAGAGAUGAGAAACAAGGUGGCCCAUGAGACUGGUUCUCAUCAGAGUGCAUGUGCCUCACUUAAGAGCAGUGGCACCUUUUCCACAGGCUCUCUUUUCUCGUCUGCCGGCCAAAUGGAGAGGAUUCCACAGACUCAGAAGAAGGUGGAACUGUAAGAAGGAACGAGCCUAGAUCCCUAAAUGACUGUGUGGAACAGAGCUUUAUUGCAAUCUUGCAUAAGACUGUGACAGAAAUGAGAAUAAACUUUUGUUGUGUUAAGCCA
This is a long non-coding RNA of Equus caballus (horse), 708 nucleotides long. RefSeq lists it as uncharacterized. NCBI's taxonomy places the organism in Eukaryota, Metazoa, Chordata, Mammalia, Perissodactyla, Equidae. The record is from RefSeq and is a predicted model, not a curated record.